This 988-nucleotide ribosomal RNA is filed under the name uncultured Planctomycetota bacterium. Its description in RNAcentral is "bacterial SSU rRNA". It matches the Rfam family "Bacterial small subunit ribosomal RNA", at positions 112 to 1074 of the family's 1533-position model. Lineage: Bacteria; Pseudomonadati; Planctomycetota. The record is from RNAcentral.
AACACGUGGGAAACCUACCUUUCAGUUGGGGAUAACAUUUCUAACGAGGUGCUAAUACCGAAUACAAUCUUUCCGUCGCAUGAUGGAUUGAUGAAAGGCGGCCUCUGUUUACAAGCUGUCACUGAAAGAUGGUCCCGCGUCCCAUUAGCUUGUUGGUGAGGUAACGGCUCACCAAGGCGACGAUUGGUAGCCGGCCUUAGCGGGUGAUCGGCCACACUGGGAUUGAGAUACGGCCCAGACUCCUACGGGAGGCAGCAGUCGAGAGGCAUCCACAAUGGGGGAAACCCUGAUGGUGCGACGCCGCGUGGGUGAUGAAGGUUUUCGGAUCGUAAAACCCUUUCAGCAGGGACGAAUGUAUCAGGUGUUAAUACCACCUAAUAAGAGACGGUACUUGCAGAAGAAGCUCCGGCUAACUCCGUGCCAGCAGCCGCGGUAAGACGGGGGGAGCAAGCGUUGUUCGGAUUUACUGGGCGUAAAGGGCGUCUAGGCGGAUCAACAAGUCAGGUGUGAAAUCCCAUGACUCAAUCAUGGAACUGCAUUUGAAACUGUUGGUCUUGAGUACGGAAGAGGAAAGUGGAAUUCCUGGUGUAGCGGUGAAAUGCGUAGAUAUCAGGAAGAACACCGGUGGCGAAGGCGGCUUUCUGGUCCGAUACUGACGCUAAAGCGCGAAAGUGUGGGGAGCAAACAGGAUUAGAUACCCUGGUAGUCCACACUGUAAACGAUGGAUACUAGGUGUCGGGGACCCGACCUCUCCGGUGCCGUAGCUAACGCAUUAAGUAUCCCGCCUGGGGAGUACGAUCGCAAGGUUGAAACUCAAAGGAAUUGACGGGGACCCGCACAAGCGGUGGAGCAUGUUGCUUAAUUCGACGCAACGCGAAGAACCUUACCGGGGCUCGACGUGUACCGGAAGGGUGUAGAAAUACAUUCCGCUCUUCGGAGCUGGUAUAUUAGGUGCUGCACGGCUGUCGUCAGCUCGUGUCGUGAGAUG